UUGUCUAUGUUCCUUGGAACAGGACGUCAUAGAGGGUGAGAAUCCCGUCUGAUGGGGUGUCCAGUGCUUUGUAGAUUUCUACCGAAGAGUCGAGUUGUUUGGGAAUGCAGCUCUAAGUGGGUGGUAAAUUCCAUCUAAAGCUAAAUACUGGCGAGAGACCGAUAGCGAACAAGUACAGUGAUGGAAAGAUGAAAAGAACUUUGAAAAGAGAGUGAAAAAGUACGUGAAAUUGUUGAAAGGGAAGGGUAUUGGAUCAGACUUGGUGUCUUGUGAUUAUCUUCCCUUCUUGGGUUUGUGCACUCGCAUUUCAUUGGGUCCAGCAUCGGUUCGGAUGGCAAGAUAAUGGCUUUGGGAAUGUGGCACUCUUCGGAGUGUGUUAUAGCCCUUGUUGAUGUUGCCUAUCUGGACCGAGGACUGCGGCUUUUUGCCUAGGAUGCUGGCGUAAUGAUUCAAUACCGCCCGUCUUUGAAACACGGACCAAGGAGUCUAACGUCUAUGCGAGUGUUGUGGGUGUAAAACCCGUACGCGUAAUGAAAGUGAACGUAGGUGAGAGCCCGUAUGGGUGCAUCAUCGACCGAUCCUGAUGUUUUCGGAUGGAUUUUGAGUAAGAGCAUAGCUGUGGGACCCGAAAGAUGGUGAACUAUGCCUGAAUAGGGUGAAGCCAGAGG
This 668-nucleotide ribosomal RNA is filed under the name Petasospora fabianii. RNAcentral's name for it is "LSU rRNA". It matches the Rfam family "Eukaryotic large subunit ribosomal RNA", at positions 177 to 858 of the family's 3401-position model. The record is from RNAcentral. Lineage: Eukaryota; Fungi; Ascomycota; Saccharomycetes; Phaffomycetales; Wickerhamomycetaceae.